RNAcentral lists this small RNA (264 nucleotides) under Pan troglodytes (chimpanzee). Its description in RNAcentral is "processed transcript". The record is from RNAcentral. Lineage: Eukaryota; Metazoa; Chordata; Mammalia; Primates; Hominidae.
UACCACAGGGUGCUGCUCCCUGGGCCAACUCCUGUGAACUUGCUCACUUCCCAUGGAGACCGAGGCUGCUCAGAGCUGGGAGAGGCCUGUGCCACUGCUGUCAGCUACAGAGCCUGAUCUUGAGCAUCCUGUCGCAGAUAGAAAGUUAAUCAGAAAAAUCUGGUUGUGCUCUUGGAUUAGCUGGGCAUUUGGGGUAAGGGAGGGACUGCAGAUUCUGAUUUGUACAGAAAACUAAAAUUUCAGUAUGUUGCAAUAAAAUGAAAA